UGAAUACGAGAUGCUACGGCGUCGAAGCAGUCUAUGUCAUACUUCCAAGAAAAGCUUGCACUGUCAUAAACAAAUAAUGCCUGUACCAUAACCGACACAGGUGGGUAGGUAGAGUAUACUAAGGGGCGCGAGAUAACUCUCUCUAAGGAACUCGGCAAAAUGACUCCGUAACUUCGGGAGAAGGAGUGCCUUAUUUAUAAGGUUGCAAUAACAAGAUCCAAGCAACUGUUUACCAAAAACACAGGUCUCCGCUAAGUCGUAAGACGAUGUAUGGGGGCUGACGCCUGCCCAGUGCCAGAAGGUUAAAGAAGUUGGUUAGCAUCCGCGAAGCUGAUAACUGAAGCCCUGGGGAACGGCGGCCGUAACGAUAACGGUCCUAAGGUAGCGAAAUUCCUUGUCGGGUAAGUUCCGACCCGCACGAAAGGCGUAAUGAUUUGGAUACUGUCUCGGAGAGGGGCUCGGUGAAAUAGACUUGUCUGUGUAGAUGCGGACUACCUGCACCAGGACAGAAAGACCCUAUGAAGCUUUACUGUAACCUGAAAUUGAAAUUGGACUUUACUUGCGCAGUAUAGGUGGGAGGCGUUGAGAAUAUUCUUGCGGGAUUAUUGGAGCCAUCAGUGAGAUACCACUCUUGUAAUGUUAGAUUUCUAACUUUGUAUCAUUAUCUGGUCAAAGAACAGUUUCAGGCGGGCAGUUUGACUGGGGCGGUCGCCUCCUAAACGGUAACGGAGGCGCACAAAGGUUUCCUCUGAACGGGUAGAAAUCGCAUCUAGAGUGUAAAGGCAUAAGGAAGCUUGACUGUGAGACCUACAAGUCGAGCAGGGACGAAAGUCGGUCUUAGUGAUCUGACGGUGCUGAGUGGAAAGGCCGUCACUCAUCGGAUAAAAGUUACUCUAAGGAUAACAGGCUGAUCUCCCCCAAGAGUUCACAUCGACGGGGAGGUUUGGCACCUCGAUGUCGGCUCAUCGCAUCCUGGGGCGGUAGUACGUCCCAAGGGUUGGGCUGUUCGCCCAUGAAAGCGGUACGCGAGCUGGGUUCAGUACGUCGUGGGACAGUUCGGUCCAUAUCCGGUGUAGGCGUUAGAAUAUUGAGAGGAGCCUUCUUUAGUACGAGAGGACCGAGAAGGACAUACCUCUGGUGUACCAGUUAUCGUGCCAACGGUAAACGCUGGGUAGCUAUGUGUGGAGUGGAUAACCGCCGAAAGCAUCUAAGUGGGAAGCCCACCUCAAGAUAAGUAUUCGC
RNAcentral lists this ribosomal RNA (1242 nucleotides) under metagenome. RNAcentral describes it as "bacterial LSU rRNA". It matches the Rfam family "Bacterial large subunit ribosomal RNA", at positions 1564 to 2815 of the family's 2925-position model. The record is from RNAcentral.